GACGAACGCUGGCGGCGCGCUUAACACAUGCAAGUCGAGCGAGAACCAGCCCUUCGGGGCUGGGGAAAGCGGCGAACGGGUGAGUAACACGUGAGUAAUCCACCCUCGGUACCGGGAUAGCCCGGGGGAAACCCGGAUUAAUACCGGAUGGCCCAGCAGCUCUUUGGGGCGGCUGGAAAAGGUAGCUUCGGCCUCCGACCGAGGACGAGCUCGCGGCGGAUUAGCUUGUUGGGUGGGGUAACGGCCUACCAAGGCGACGAUCCGUAGCUGGUCUGAGAGGACGAUCAGCCACACUGGGACUGAGACACGGCCCAGACUCCUACGGGAGGCAGCAGUGGGGAAUCUUGCGCAAUGGGCGAAAGCCUGACGCAGCGACGCCGCGUGCGGGAAGAAGGCCUC
This 399-nucleotide ribosomal RNA is filed under the name uncultured bacterium. Its description in RNAcentral is "bacterial SSU rRNA". It matches the Rfam family "Bacterial small subunit ribosomal RNA", at positions 28 to 418 of the family's 1533-position model. The record is from RNAcentral.